This is a small nucleolar RNA of 93 nucleotides. Its record names the gene SNORD116. It matches the Rfam family "Small nucleolar RNA SNORD116". Rfam says of the family: HBII-85 is a member of the C/D class of snoRNAs, which contain the C (UGAUGA) and D (CUGA) box motifs. HBII-85 is encoded in a tandemly repeated array with another C/D snoRNA, HBII-52, in the Prader-Willi syndrome (PWS) region of chromosome 15. The record is from Ensembl.
GGAUCGAUGAUGACACCCACAAACGCAUUCCUUGGAAAAUCUGAACAAAAUGAGUGAGAACUCACUACCGUCUCCAAUCGCAAACUGAGGUCC